Molecule: RNA transcript, 2230 nt
Organism: Panicum virgatum (switchgrass)
Lineage: Eukaryota; Viridiplantae; Streptophyta; Magnoliopsida; Poales; Poaceae
Exons: 10
Source: RefSeq, a predicted model, not a curated record
GGGCGCGUGCGCUCGAGCGCGGCGGCGAGCAACGGGGUUGAGCUGCGCGGCGCGGAGCUCCAGCGCGGCGGUGACAGCGGCCAUGGCCGGCUUGGGCCGGCACGGCCCUCCUCCCUCCCCCUUCCUUGGCCGGCGCGACCAUCCGCAGCAGGCCUCCCUCUCCCUCCCUGGCCGGUGCGCAGAGAUGCUGCGGCGAGUUGGGGUUGGCUAGCCACGUGGACGCCGGAGCCACAAGAACGACCGGCCGGACAGCGACUAGCUCAGGUGCCUCAUAAGAUCCGCUCCAUCCCACGGCGCGCGUGGUGACGACCGCAGCACCUCCUAUGCUCGUCGGAGUCGGCCGACGAUGCCAACCACACGCGCCGUCUUAUGGCUAUGGCCGCGGUGGCUGUCAAGCGCGCCGGUUGCGUCAUUCGGCCGCCGCCCUCACACGCGCCGGUUGCGGCCUCCAGCGGCCGCCGUGCCUCGCGGCCGGAGCCUCACAACAGCCGGCCCAGCGGCCGCUGCCUCACAAGAUCCGCUCCAUCCCUCGCGGAUCCGCCCACUAUCGCGCGCGUUCUUCUCCUCCGUCGCCCGCCCACCCGUCCGAUCCGCUCCAUCCCUCGCGGAGGCCGGCGGAGGCUGCAACCGGUUCCGGGAAGGCGGAAGCCGUGGAUCCGCCCCUGUUCUGCGUCCGCCAGAUCCUCCGACCACUAUCCUAGUCAGGUUCACCGUCCACCAGUGAUUUUUGGUUGCUUGCUCCGCCACCUGAUAGGCCACUGCUCCUAUCAGUUAAAGGUCCCUUGUACGAUGACAGAGAAUAUAAAGUUGAAGCUUCAAAGGAUGGUUAUCAUCUCAAGCGAACUGGCCCAUACACAUUUGCUUGUCACAAGCUUGGUCAGAUAUCAGUCCGGAUUUAUGGUGAAAAUUCGGAGCUGCUACCAUCAGUAUUAUUAUCCUUGGGUGGUGAGGAAGGGAAUCACGCUGUUGGCUGUACCUGAACAGGAGAUUUGUCUACUGAAUCAUCCAUCUGGAUCAGGUGGAUUUGGUGACCGAGACGGACAAGACCUGCGAGGACUUUGUCUUCAACCACCUCCGGAAGCACUUCCCGGAGCACAAGUUCAUCGGGGAGGAGACGUCCGCAGCGCUCGGCGCCACCGCCGGCCACACAGACGAACCUACCUGGAUCGUCGAUCCCCUCGAUGGCACCACCAAUUUCGUCCACGGCUUCCCCUUUGUGUGCGUCUCAAUUGGCCUCACCAUUUGGAAAAUUCCCACCGUUGGAGUCGUUUACAGCCCAAUCAUGAAUGAGGUUUUCACUGCAAUUCGUAGAAAAGGUGCUUUCUGAAUGACUCUCCAAUCAAAGCAUCAUCUCAAAAUGAAUUAGCGAAGGCUCUUCAGAACAUAUGUGCAUUCCAUAUGAUUUGCUUCUCUUGCAAAAAUGAGACAUCACAGGAUUGGAGAUGACGAAGAGUGAGAUAUAUAUUCAUUUGCAGAUUUGCAGUAAAGGCACAGCCAUCUAGAGAAAACUUGAAACAGGUCUAUGGUUUCCUCACCUUGAUACAGCUGUUGCAUACCCGCGCCAGUGUGCCGUAGACUUCCAAGAUUACCACCGUAAUGCCGUCCAACCUCUGGUUCUCCUAAAAUUGUAAUGUAACUUUUAUGAUGUUUAGAAAACAAUCAUAUUACUGAUUGGGAUAUACACAUAUGCAGUUUGAUGUUUGCACCUUCAUGUACCUUUUAGACAGUUGGUUCAACAGACCAAUGCAAACAUUACCACAAAAAAGGAUUCAUUUUCCAACAAAAGGUAUUUCCCAAUGUCUUUAUCCCAAACACAUAAUUAUAGCAGCAGAUAAGGGAAAAGGGAGGUUGCUGAUAACCACUUUCAGUUUGUGAAAAUCAGUAUUCAUGUCCACCUUUAUUAAACUAUAACCCCACCCAUUUGAGUUUACCUAUCAUCUCUGAUCUAAACUCUUUACCUAGAUUUAUUUUAUUACCCUUAGUUUUCAUUGACUGGGCGGUACUAUUUGUCCUACUAAUUCUGAAAAGGCCAAGUUAGAAUGGAUAAGGUAAUAUCUUUCCUGAUCUUUGUACAAGUCAGAGGUUCCUACUGCUAAUGCAUUGACGCUGUAUAACGCUGCAUUCCCUUGUAUUGUGUAAUAGGACAACUGUGCCUGCAGUCCCUCUGAACAUGUAUCUUAAAACAGCGGUUUCAUGUUAUAAUGUGUACUCACCCAGGACGUUAUACUUA